This is a long non-coding RNA of Marmota monax (woodchuck), 4236 nucleotides long. RefSeq lists it as uncharacterized. Lineage: Eukaryota; Metazoa; Chordata; Mammalia; Rodentia; Sciuridae. The transcript has 3 exons. The record is from RefSeq and is a predicted model, not a curated record.
CGCGGCUCAGGGAGUCAGGGUUGGCCGGCUCUGCCCAGAGGCCAGGUGGAGAGCUGCCAAGCCCCCUGUCCUCCCGCUUCCUCCUGUGUCCUCGCUGUCCUCCCUGGACCUUGUGGAAGAGCCAGGUCUUGUUCCUGCUUCAAAGACCAGCAACCAGCAGGCAAGAAGGGAAUGCACAUUCGCUCACACCCUGCUGUGAGAACCACGUUCACCUGUCCACAUCCAAAGAGUGAACCAAGAGACUUAAGGCAGAGCAGAAAGCCAGGCUUUGCUUUAAUGGGACUUGCAAGAUCAAGAUCUGGUGUCUUGCAAGAGUUGGCUGGGGGAUGGGGGGAGCAGGCACACCCAGACUGGGGACAGCCAGCCUUCUAACCCCUAGAGCCCAGGGUCCCUCCCCCAGGUCCUCAUUGGCUGAGAACCAUGGGGUAUAGGGUAUUCCUGAAAGUGUCCUAGGUUUUACUGUCUCCUGUUGGGUUUUUCAAGGAACCAGUACCUUUAGCUGUCCCCACCUCCCUUUGUUUUCUUGUGCCUUUUGGCAUCUACGAGGUUUAUUCUAUUGGUCAGAUGAGUUGGGGGGACCCAACUUGUAACUUUCCAUUCUGCCCUCCCCUCCGGCUGCCUUUCUUGCAUCCCAAGUCACUUCGCAUUUAAAGCUAUGUACUGUAUUUUGAAAAUGGACCACAGGAUUUAUUUCUUCUCACUCCACUAUGCACGAAGCCCUGUGCCCAGUGGAGCCACAAGGUUUCCUUCAUUAAGUCUCAUGAUCGCCUUUCUAGGGGAGGAUUAUUCGAGCAUCCAGGACUGAAAUGCAGAAAGGUUGAAUAACUUGCUCAAGUGGCUUAAGAUUCGCAGGGGGAACAGCUCAACCCUGUGGUCAUCUUAAAUGCCUGAAGCCACUCAGCUCCUGCUCCGAUGACUCUAAUGGCAGGUGACAUUGCCCUCAACUACCUGGCAAGGUCCUCUUUGGAAAUCUGUGGCUGAAGAACCACUGGUCCCCAGUAACAUUUCUGGGGACCAACAGCAGCCUCCCCCUGGAACACAGUCCCACGAUCUUAAGUCAAUCAUCGUGUUCUCUGAGGCUGCGGUCUCCCUGCAAGGUUGGUUGAGCUGAUCACCUUCACGACGGGGUGCCAUUUCCCUACCACGUCUCGCUGCUGCAGAGCAAGGCCAUCCACGGAGCCAAGGCAACUGAGAGAUCCUGGUCCCCCAGAGUUUGCGGUCAAGCCAGAGGAUUGCAGAUUUUAUGGUUAUGAGACUUCGCUUCCAAGUAUCCUGUUGACCUGGAUCCUGGAAUCUCAUCUGUGUAAAGUCACAAAAUGCCUCGCUUCAGGGUAACUUGUGUUCUUAUGCACAGGGACAAGCCUUUGGGACCUGCAUUUCUCCUACAGAUAAUAGGUUGUUUGCUGAUGAAUAUAAUAUAUCCCACUGACUUGAGCCAGGCAGGGCCAGAGCAGUCUCAGGCAAAUUGUCCUUCAAAAGAAAGACAGUGAGCCUGGUCUAUAGAAUGAUCCCUUUAACCUCCUGUUCUCACCACUUGCUUCUGUUUGUGACCUGUCAAUACCAAUCAGGUGGCUCUGCUCUGACCACCUGCCACACCCCUGUCUUGCUUUGGCAGUCUCUUUGAUUGCAGAUGUAAAUUGCUCAACUAGCUUGGCUAUUUGUCUUUGGAUUGAUUAGGUUCCAUUUUUAGCAGCAUGUAGGAGAAUCGUCAACAAACAGUUUGUUUAAACUGGUCAACUUUCUUUAACCCACAGGCAAAUAAAUAGGAAAUAAAUUCAUUGUCUCUUACAAUGAAGAGAAAACCCCAGAGCGUUUGACCCAAAUGAAGGCCACUCAUCAAUUCUCUGCCAGGUAAAAUUCAGAAGUCUAUAUAAGUCAUUCUUUAGUACGAACCAAUGCAGAUUUCUCUGAUGAAUUUGCAAAGUGUUUUUUUUUCAAAGAAUCUUAUGGUGAGAUUUUUGAAAAAUUAUUAUAUUUGGCAAAUACAUGAGCCAGAUACUGUUCUAAAUGAUUUGCAAAUCCUUAGCUCAGCAGUCCUCUUGAUAAAGCUAUGGAGUACCACGACUGCUGUUCACGUUUAAUAGACAAGGAAAGGGGACAGAGAACCACCCAAGGUCCACACUCGAGCUCCACGCUGCUGCUUCUUAAGUUAAAAAAGGAGCAGGAGGAAGAGGAGGAGGAGGAGGAGGCCGGUGGGAAGGGGAAGAGAAAGAGGGGAAACAACAAAAGUUCUGUUUCUUAAAUGAACUGCAGGAAUAAUCCUCAGGGUUCUCUGUUACUCUCCCGCCGUUAUUCCCCUCCGUAUUCUCUCUCCUCCCAUCUGUCUCUGUGCCCCACACUCCUUAAGCACAAAACUCUGCCUUUAAGGCUGAUAGUCGCUCAGUCCUCCUCUUUGGCUCAGAAAAAUACUCUGAAUCCUAUUAAUAAACACGCCUCUAUAUUUGGACUGUGUUAUUACUCACGGCACUCAGAACAAAUAGAACUGUUUGAUCUUUGGCAAAUAGCAUUUCUCUUGAAGGUGUUAGAGUGACGAGAUCAUAUCCAAUUGAUGAAAACAAUUAACUGCAAGGAUGAGCUGUAAUAAAUUAUGCAUUAGAAAACAGACUCCUUUUUAAAUUUGGAGACCUCUGACCAGUAUCAAGAACAGAUUAAAUGCAUUCCUUUAGGGAGAGAUAUGCUAUCAGAAGAGGCUGUGUUUGAGUCCAAUGCACUGACAUGUAUUCUCUGUAACAGAAUGCUUCUCCUCAGUUAUUAGUACCCAUCUCUCAUACCAUCUCUCAUAUCUGAAACCCUGGAUCAUGUAUCUUUCCAUUACUCAAUAUUGGUAUUUCCUAUUCCCCAUAUGCAUCUCCCCUCCCUGCUUACCCAGCCUGAUCCCACCAUUUAACAAGGAAGAUAUGCUUUUUACUAAAGCCCCUGUUCCUGUAUCCCAAGCCUUCUGCUAAACUCCCACUGAAGUAUCAAACCCUGGCCCAGACCCACCAUAGGCCAGCUGAGUUCCUUCAUCUUAAUUUUUAAGAGUCCUAAAUUACAGGCUCAGGCCACAUGAGUUGGGGGACCUGGGUGCUGGUCUCCAUUUUCUUAUUCAUUGUUGGUAGCUACUGUGAUGGCAGAGUCACAGCCCCCAAAGAUGUCCUUGUCCUGGUCUCUGACACCUGUGAAUAACCACUCUCCCUGUCAAAGGGGACUUUGCAGACUUAAGUUAAGGGCCUGGUGUCGCAAUAUGCGAAGGAAUCAGGUCACUCCAGGUGGAUUGGGCUGGCAACAAAAAAUAAAAACACACAAACUCAGAACCUUUUGUGAGGUUCAGGAUGGCUCUGCAGCCUCAAGAAUCAAGCUCCCACACUGGAGGGCAAGGAGGGCAAGUGGCAGGAAAGAGAGCAAGCAGCCUGAAACCCCCUACUUAUUGGGGAGAAGCCAUUCAUAGAAUAUCCCACGCAAAUAAGGCAAGGGGUCAGGUUUCAGGGGGUUGAGUCUAGCUUCGUGAUGUCUUGUGGUCAGUAGAUUGAUUGACAUCUUGGACACCCAUCUCAGAUGCCGUGUGGGAACGCAGGAAGAGCGAGAGGAAAGGGCACACGUGUGUUGCACAGCCCAAAGAGCAUGCAACACCAGGCCAGUCCUCUCAUAUGCCCCAAUGUGCAUAGCUCACACACACAGCCCAUGGAUGGCCCGCAACAGCCUGGAGACCUGGAGGUUGUCCUGGAUUAUUUGGUGGACCAGUGCAUCACCAGGGCUGUCACAAGAAGACAAGAGCAUCAGAGUCAGAGAUGCCAUGGCAGGGGUCAGGCAGAGCGCUCUUGGAAGAUGCUGCAUUGGUGGCUUUGGGGAUGGGGGACAUGCUGUGAGCAAGGAGGCGGGUGGCCUCUGGAAGGGAGAAGGCUGGAAGGUGGAUUCUCCCCUUUCACUUCCAGAGGAGGACAGCCCUGCCACCACCAUGCAGUUAGCCCCGCAAGACCCCGGUUGGACCUCUCAACUCCAGCACUACAGAGAACGCAUCUGCAUUGUGCAGGCUGGGAAAUUUGUGGUGAUAUGUCAUAGCAGCAGUAGGAAACUAAUACAUUUGCUCCUCCCAGUACCCCAGGAAAUACAGCAAAAUAUCCCCUCCCUCUCAUCCUUAUAUACCUCUCUGUGGGCCACUCUGCCUACUACUUCAUAAGAGAAAAAGCAUUAUUUAAAUCAUUUUAUGCAUCUUACAAAGCAACACAAUUUAGAGUCAGUAAAUUUUUUUCUACAGUU